This 253-nucleotide ribosomal RNA is filed under the name uncultured bacterium. RNAcentral describes it as "partial 16S ribosomal RNA". It matches the Rfam family "Bacterial small subunit ribosomal RNA", at positions 524 to 776 of the family's 1533-position model. The record is from RNAcentral.
UACGGGGGGGGCAAGCGUUGUUCGGAAUUACUGGGCGUAAAGGGCUCGUAGGUGGCCAACUAAGUCAGACGUGAAAUCCCUCGGCUUAACCGGGGAACUGCGUCUGAUACUGGAUGGCUUGAGUUUGGGAGAGGGACGCGGAAUUCCAGGUGUAGCGGUGAAAUGCGUAGAUAUCUGGAGGAAUACCGGUGGCGAAGGCGGCGACCUGGACCGACACUGACGCUAAUACACGAAAGCGUGGGGAGCAAACAGG